This 538-nucleotide ribosomal RNA is filed under the name uncultured bacterium. RNAcentral describes it as "bacterial SSU rRNA". It matches the Rfam family "Bacterial small subunit ribosomal RNA", at positions 933 to 1482 of the family's 1533-position model. The record is from RNAcentral.
AGGAACAUGUGGUUUAAUUCGAUGAUACGCGAGGAACCUUACCCGGGCUUGAACUGCACCCGACGGACAAAGAGAUUUGUCUUCCGCAAGGCGGGUGUGGAGGUGCUGCAUGGUUGUCGUCAGCUCGUGCCGUGAGGUGUCGGCUUAAGUGCCAUAACGAGCGCAACCCUUCUCUUCAGUUGCCAUCAGGCAGAGCUGGGCACUCUGGAGACACUGCCAUCGUAAGAUGCGAGGAAGGUGGGGAUGACGUCAAAUCAGCACGGCCCUUACGUCCGGGGCUACACACGUGUUACAAUGGGAGGUACAGAAGGCCGCGACCCGGCGACGGGAAGCCAAUCCCCAAAUCCUCUCUCAGUUCGGACUGGAGUCUGCAACCCGACUCCACGAAGCUGGAUUCGCUAGUAAUCGCGCAUCAGCCAUGGCGCGGUGAAUACGUUCCCGGGCCUUGUACACACCGCCCGUCAAGCCAUGAAAGCCGGGGGUACCUGAAGUCCGUAACCGCAAGGAGCGGCCUAGGGUAAAACUGGUAAUUGGGGCU